AACGCGCAGCGAAAGGUGCUUGCACCUUUCAAGCGAGUGGCGAACGGGUGAGUAACACGUGGAUAACCUGCCUCAAGGCUGGGGAUAACAUUUGGAAACAGAUGCUAAUACCGAAUAAAACUUAGUAUCGCAUGAUACAAAGUUAAAAGGCGCUACGGCGUCACCUAGAGAUGGAUCCGCGGUGCAUUAGUUAGUUGGUGGGGUAAAGGCUUACCAAGACGAUGAUGCAUAGCCGAGUUGAGAGACUGAUCGGCCACAUUGGGACUGAGACACGGCCCAAACUCCUACGGGAGGCUGCAGUAGGGAAUCUUCCACAAUGGGCGCAAGCCUGAUGGAGCAACGCCGCGUGUGUGAUGAAGGCUUUCGGGUCGUAAAGCACUGUUGUAUGGGAAGAAAUGCUAAAAUAGGGAAUGAUUUUAGUUUGACGGUACCAUACCAGAAAGGGACGGCUAAAUACGUGCCAGCAGCCGCGGUAAUACGUAUGUCCCGAGCGUUAUCCGGAUUUAUUGGGCGUAAAGCGAGCGCAGACGGUUGAUUAAGUCUGAUGUGAAAGCCCGGAGCUCAACUCCGGAAUGGCAUUGGAAACUGGUUAACUUGAGUGUUGUAGAGGUAAGUGGAACUCCAUGUGUAGCGGUGGAAUGCGUAGAUAUAUGGAAGAACACCAGUGGCGAAGGCGGCUUACUGGACAACAACUGACGUUGAGGCUCGAAAGUGUGGGUAGCAAACAGGAUUAGAUACCCUGGUAGU
This 747-nucleotide ribosomal RNA is filed under the name Leuconostoc holzapfelii. RNAcentral's name for it is "bacterial SSU rRNA". It matches the Rfam family "Bacterial small subunit ribosomal RNA", at positions 59 to 794 of the family's 1533-position model. Lineage: Bacteria; Bacillati; Bacillota; Bacilli; Lactobacillales; Lactobacillaceae. The record is from RNAcentral.